Molecule: ribosomal RNA, 253 nt
Filed under: uncultured bacterium
Lineage: Bacteria
Description: partial 16S ribosomal RNA
Rfam family: Bacterial small subunit ribosomal RNA
Source: RNAcentral
UACGAAGGGUGCAAGCGUUACUCGGAAUUACUGGGCGUAAAGCGUGCGUAGGCGGUUUGUUAAGUCUGUUGUGAAAGCCCCGGGCUCAACCUGGGAAUGGCAAUGGAAACUGGCGAGCUAGAGUACGGUAGAGGAGAGUGGAAUUCCCGGUGUAGCAGUGAAAUGCGUAGAGAUCGGGAGGAACAUCAGUUGCGAAGGCGGCUCUCUGGACCAGUACUGACGCUGAGGCACGAAAGCGUGGGGAGCGAACAGG